Molecule: ribosomal RNA, 252 nt
Filed under: uncultured bacterium
Lineage: Bacteria
Description: partial 16S ribosomal RNA
Rfam family: Bacterial small subunit ribosomal RNA
Source: RNAcentral
UACGAAGGGGGCUAGCGUUGUUCGGAAUUACUGGGCGUAAAGCGCACGUAGGCGGUCUGUUGCGUCGGCUGUGAAAACCCGGGGCUCAACUCCGGGCCUGCAGCCGAUACGGGCAGACUAGAGUUCGGCAGGGGAGACUGGAAUUCCUGGUGUAGCGGUGAAAUGCGCAGAUAUCAGGAGGAACACCGGUGGCGAAGGCGGGUCUCUGGGCCGAUACUGACGUGAGGAGCGAAAGCGUGGGGAGCGAACAGG